This 274-nucleotide non-coding RNA is filed under the name Paenibacillus polymyxa. RNAcentral's name for it is "T-box sequence". It matches the Rfam family "T-box leader". Rfam says of the family: Uncharged tRNA acts as the effector for transcription antitermination of genes in the T-box leader family. The record is from RNAcentral. Lineage: Bacteria; Bacillati; Bacillota; Bacilli; Caryophanales; Paenibacillaceae.
ACAAAGACAUAGACGGAGACAAGUAAGCGUCAUCGGAUUCCCACAGAAAGGUACGUAUUGCUGAGAGCGUACCGCAAUCCCGCGUUGAAAUUCACUCCCGAGUCGAGCCUUGAACCGACGACAGAAGGAUUCAUUCCUUUGACCGCAGUAGAGGUUUCCGGAAGCCCCCGUUACGGGCAUCAAGCUCAGAGGUUACUGCCGUCGAUUGAAUGACGUUGACGACUUGCAUGUAUACUUCUGUAAUUAGGGUGGUACCACGGCAUUCGUCCCUUGC